UGGUGGAGUGAUUUGUCUGGUUAAUUCCGCUAACGAACGAGACCUUAACCUGCUAAAUAGUUACAUGUAAUUUCGAUUAUGUGGGCAACUUCUUAGAGGGACUUUGUGUGCAUAAUACAAGGACGUUUGAGGCAAUAACA
This 140-nucleotide ribosomal RNA is filed under the name uncultured eukaryote. RNAcentral describes it as "partial 18S ribosomal RNA". It matches the Rfam family "Eukaryotic small subunit ribosomal RNA", at positions 1299 to 1458 of the family's 1831-position model. The record is from RNAcentral.